Molecule: small nucleolar RNA, 121 nt
Organism: Nymphaea colorata (pocket water lily)
Lineage: Eukaryota; Viridiplantae; Streptophyta; Magnoliopsida; Nymphaeales; Nymphaeaceae
Source: RefSeq, a predicted model, not a curated record
GAGCAAAACUGUCUUGAAAACAUGGCGUGUAUUUGCCUUGAAGGCUGGCAAUAGCAUAACCUAUGCAGUUCUCCGUGCCUCUCUGAUCCUUCAUGGCUGGCCUCGAACAAAUUGCAACAUU